UGGGGAAUAUUGCACAAUGGGCGCAAGCCUGAUGCAGCGACGCCGCGUGAGGGAUGACGGCCUUCGGGUUGUAAACCUCUUUCAAUAGGGACGAAGCGCAAGUGACGGUACCUAUAGAAGAAGGACCGGCCAACUACGUGCCAGCAGCCGCGGUAAUACGUAGGGUCCGAGCGUUGUCCGGAAUUACUGGGCGUAAAGAGCUCGUAGGUGGUUUGUCGCGUUGUUCGUGAAAACUCACAGCUUAACUGUGGGCGUGCGGGCGAUACGGGCAGACUAGAGUACUGCAGGGGAGACUGGAAUUCCUGGUGUAGCGGUGGAAUGCGCAGAUAUCAGGAGGAACACCGGUGGCGAAGGCGGGUCUCUGGGCAGUAACUGACGCUGAGGAGCGAAAGCGUGGGGAGCGAACAGGAUUAGAUACCCUGGUAGUCCACGCCGUAAACGGUGGGUACUAGGUGUGGGUUUCCUUCCUUGGGAUCCGUGCCGUAGCUAACGCAUUGAAGUACCCCGCCUGGGGAGUACGGCCGCAAGGCUAAAACUCAAAGGAAUUGACGGGGUCAUAGCUGUUUCCU
Molecule: ribosomal RNA, 569 nt
Filed under: uncultured bacterium
Lineage: Bacteria
Description: partial 16S ribosomal RNA
Rfam family: Bacterial small subunit ribosomal RNA
Source: RNAcentral